AUUGAACGCUGGCGGCAGGCCUAACACAUGCAAGUCGAGCGGGUGAAGGUAUCUUGCUCCUGGAUUCAGCGGCUGACGGGUGAGUAAUUCCUAGUAAUCUGCCUGCUAGUGGUGGAUAACGUCCGUAAUCGGGCGCUAAUUCCGCAUCCGUCCUGAGGGUGCACGUGGGGGAUCUUCGGACCUCCCUUUAUCAGAUGAUCCUAGGUUGGAUUAGCUAGUUGGUGGGGUAAAGCCCUACCAAGGCGACGAUCCGUAACUGGUCUGAGAGGAGGAUCAGUCAAACUGGAACUGGGACACGGGCCAGACUGCGACGGGAAGCAGGAGUGGGGAAUAUUGGAAGAUGGGAGAAAGGCAGAUCCAGCAAUGGCGCGAGUGUGAAGAAGGUAUUCGGAUGGUAAAGCACAUUAAGUUGGGAGGAAGGGCAGUAAGUUAAGAACUUGAAGUUAUGACGGUACCAACAGAAUAAGCACCGGCUAACUUCGUG
RNAcentral lists this ribosomal RNA (484 nucleotides) under uncultured bacterium. Its description in RNAcentral is "partial 16S ribosomal RNA". It matches the Rfam family "Bacterial small subunit ribosomal RNA", at positions 30 to 507 of the family's 1533-position model. The record is from RNAcentral.